Molecule: long non-coding RNA, 2366 nt
Organism: Parus major (Great Tit)
Lineage: Eukaryota; Metazoa; Chordata; Aves; Passeriformes; Paridae
Exons: 2
Source: RefSeq, a predicted model, not a curated record
UCAUGCACCUAAAAUCUUAUAGCAAAGUUUGUCCAGAAAAAGACCUAAAGUUAUUGUUUGGGUGGUUUGGGUUUUUUUUUUUUUUUUUUUUUUUUUUUUUUUUUUGGUGUUUUUUUUUUUUAAAUCCAGUUUUGCCAAGCAUUUUGUUUGAUAGACAGUUAUCCAGUGUAGUUUAGUUGAAAAAAAAAAAAAAAAUCUGUGUUGUCCUAAAUUGUUCCAUCACAAAUGAAAUUUUGCUCUUGUUUGGAAUUUGGAUUUUUUCAACAUUAACAAGUGUUCAUUGGAAUUUGUUGUUUGGCAUUCUCAGGACUACAGCUUUCCACUGUUUAGAGCCUUUUUUCCUUUCUGACAGAGGUGGUUGUAGCAAUCAAUGCUGGAUAAUAUGGAUCAAAUACACGGGCAUGACAUGCAGGAACUAACAAUAUGGAAAGCAAAUACUGAGGUCUUAAUGCUGUAAAGAGAAUGUGCCAAAAUCAUCUUGUGAAGGAAGAAAUACUGUGGAAAACUUUCAGGUAGAAUAUUUAUUUGAAGUUAGGGAAAAAUAAAAAUAGAAGGUAGAAUCUAAUCAGAUUAAGAAAUUCAAGCAAGAUGAUGCAAAUGCUUUCGAUUGCAUGAGAACUAAAGCAAAACAACAGACUGAAACCAUUACUUUACAUUACAGUAACCAUUACAGUAAUUUACAUUACUGCCUUUUUCUGGAUGAUACAAACAUUUCCCUCUCCUAUUGUAUGUCUGUUCUAUUAUGAAAAAGGUAUGAAAGGCAAAAGAUGCUUUAAGACUUCAAGAGAGAAGCAGAAGAAAGCUACAGAAAUUUUAAGAAGAGAAAAAAGAAGACUGAAAAUCUCCUGCAGGAAUUAUUCAGAUGGAUUUUUUCAAAAAUUAUUUCUGAUAAUAAAUCAAGCAAUAAAAAAAAAUUACACCCAUACAGAAUGACUGCCUGGGAGCAAGACAGGAAUCUCUUCGACUAUGUGAACAUAAACUUUGACAGAUGGGCAGUUUGUAUCUGUGCAGCAUGGUAAAUUAUACUGCAAUAAACCAAAAGACUGCUUGGACUUAGAUGCCAGCUUCCUCUGAUAAUAACAUCAAAUGACCACAAGGAGUAGGAUUCGGUGGAGCAGAAUUUUAAAUGAUCAUUUCCAUUCCUGAGACUGUACCUAGACAUUUUUAAGAAUCUUAUUUAAGGAGGAUAACGGUUAAAUAGCUGAACAGCUCAGACUUUAUCCACAGCAAACCAUAUUAAAGUCUCAAAAAACAGCUCUCAGUAGGAGCUGCAGUCACUUCAGAGAACUUUGAAAUAAAUGACAGUGGAAAUGAAUUAGUGAAGCUCUCCACAGAACAAACAGGCUGAAAUAAAUUAAUUCUCCACUUUUUUUUAUUUUUUAUUUUUUUUGAUUAGCUUCCAUAAUAGAAGGAGUUGGAAAUCUACUGAUGAUAAUGAGAAUGAAAGAAAUUUUACUGAGGCAGAAAGAGCUUUGUUCCACUGGUUUAUUUUUAAUUGGUUGGGGUUUUUGUGUUUGUUGCUGUUAGCUUUGUUGUUUGUUUGUUUUUAUGUGGAUAAAGUUGUGAAGAGAUUUAGCUGUGCAGGUGAUAUUAUCUCAGAGUUGUCUCUGCUAUUACUGCUUUUCAGCUAGUUCUUGGCAUUACUUCUAACCUUUCUUCUGGGAGUAUCCCUGUUUUGACAAAGAGAUAAAAUGACAGUAAUAAUGUUUUUUGUGGGUGGUCCUCAAUGAUUCAUAACAGAGAAUUCGAAAAAAAUGCUUUUAAGUCUUGUCCUCAGGCACGACUGCAUUUAGUGUUCAAAAAUUUUGAAUAUUAGUUUUCUGAAAAUGUGACCCAAAUAUCCAGUCACUAAAAUGAAGACAGCAGCACCUUUUGUCCAUGGUUUAAUUUGUUAUCUAAAUGUUGAAUGGAUCCACCACCCUUUAACUCUAUUUGAUCACAAGGGUCUGAGGUCCCACAGCUUUUGAGUUGAAUUUAUGAGGAACAAGGCUGGAUUCUGCAGGUGAGUGUUACCAGUUUGUCAUGAAAACAGCAGUCAAGUUUUCUGACAAAAGGCUGCCAUGACAUCACUGCAGUUUUCAGUCUUCAUAUGAACACAGCUUGUGGCCCUUAAAAUGAUGCAUAUUUAAAUAAGGCAGCAAUGAAUAUUUCUAAGUGAGGAUUGGAUUAUGUGACAAAUGAAAUUAACGUCUCAGGUUUUUAAUUAGCAUAGCCUAGUAUUAAUAAGGAAGCUAAAUUCCAUGAGAAAAUGUGUUUGUAUUUGUUUAUACAUGUUUCUGGACAGACACCUAAAUGCAUAUAUGUACAUGUGUGUUAGAUAAAUCAUUUUGUCAUUAACAUGAUUAAAUUAAUUGUUUUUGGGUGCA